Molecule: ribosomal RNA, 497 nt
Filed under: uncultured bacterium
Lineage: Bacteria
Description: partial 16S ribosomal RNA
Rfam family: Bacterial small subunit ribosomal RNA
Source: RNAcentral
GAUGAACGCUGGCGGCGUGCCUAAUACAUGCAAGUCGAGCGAACAGACGAGGAGCUUGCUCCUCUGACGUUAGCGGCGGACGGGUGAGUAACACGUGGAUAACCUACCUAUAAGACUGGGCUAACUUCGGGAAACCGGAGCUAAUACCGGAUAAUAUAUUGAACCGCAUGGUUCAAUAGUGAAAGACGGUUUUGCUGUCACUUAUAGAUGGAUCCGCGCCGCAUUAGCUAGUUGGUAAGGUAACGGCUUACCAAGGCAACGAUGCGUAGCCGACCUGAGAGGGGGAGCGGCCACACUGGAACUGAGACACGGUCCAGACUCCUACGGGAGGCAGCAGUAGGGAAUCUUCCGCAAUGGGCGAAAGCCUGACGGAGCAAAGCCGCGUGAGUGAUGAAGGUCUGCGGAUCGUAAAACUCUGUUAUUAGGGAAGAACAAAUGUGUAAGUAACUAUGCACGUCUUGACGGUACCUAAUCAGAAAGCCACGGCUAACUACGUG